AGAGAAAAAGCAUUUGAAGAUGAAAACGGAUACUAGUUUCUAUUUCAUCAGUCUAAUAAUCACUGGCACAUGUGAAAAUCCUUAUGAACAUUGGUUCAGACUGUAGGGGCCUCACAGAGUAAGCAUCCCUACCAUUUAAGUCCAAGCCAGAGCCGGAUAUAGACUCUGAGAGAACCCUGAACCACUGUGUAAGACAUCUUAUUACUCUUCUGGAGAGGUGAGCUCAGCACUCCUAAACUAUUCCAAUCAUCUCAGUAAAUAUGAGAAUGAGGUCAUCCGGGAGAUUCCAAUUCCAGCAAAGUCCCUGGCAGAAUGAAGCUUCAUGAGUGACCCAAACCAGAUGGAGCAGAAAAAACAGCCUAGAUGAUUCCAGUCAAUCCACAGAAUUGUGAGAAAUAAUAAAUUGUUACUGUUUUGAGCCAUCAACU
Long non-coding RNA from Canis lupus familiaris (dog), 428 nucleotides. RefSeq lists it as uncharacterized. Lineage: Eukaryota; Metazoa; Chordata; Mammalia; Carnivora; Canidae. The record is from RefSeq and is a predicted model, not a curated record. The transcript is spliced from 4 exons.